Molecule: transfer RNA, 79 nt
Filed under: Podarcis lilfordi (Lilford's wall lizard)
Lineage: Eukaryota; Metazoa; Chordata; Lepidosauria; Squamata; Lacertidae
Description: tRNA.Asn
Source: RNAcentral
UUUGAAGGGAUGGCUCAGCUAGUAGAGCAUCAGACUAUUGAUCUCAGGGUUGUGGGUUUGAGCCUCACAUUGGGCAAAA